AACGAACGCUGGCGGCAGGCCUAACACAUGCAAGUCGAACGCUCUAGCAAUAGAGAGUGGCAGACGGGUGAGUAACGCGUGGGAACCUUCCCAAUGGUGCGGAAUAGCCCAGGGAAACUUGGGGUAAUACCGCAUAAGCCCUUAGGGGGAAAGAUUUAUCGCCAUUGGAUGGGCCCGCGUCGGAUUAGCUAGUUGGUGAGGUAAUGGCUCACCAAGGCAACGAUCCGUAGCUGGUUUGAGAGAAUGACCAGCCACACUGGGACUGAGACACGGCCCAGACUCCUACGGGAGGCAGCAGUGGGGAAUCUUGGACAAUGGGCGCAAGCCUGAUCCAGCCAUGCCGCGUGAGUGACGAAGGCCUUAGGGUUGUAAAGCUCUUUUGCCGGGGACGAUAAUGACGGUACCCGGAGAAUAAGUCCCGGCUAACUUCGUGCCAGCCGCCGCGGUAA
RNAcentral lists this ribosomal RNA (449 nucleotides) under uncultured bacterium. Its description in RNAcentral is "partial 16S ribosomal RNA". It matches the Rfam family "Bacterial small subunit ribosomal RNA", at positions 29 to 523 of the family's 1533-position model. The record is from RNAcentral.